GAUGAACGCUGGCGGCGUGCCUAAUACAUGCAAGUCGAGCGAACGGACGAGAAGCUUGCUUCUCUGAUGUUAGCGGCGGACGGGUGAGUAACACGUGGAUAACCUACCUAUAAGACUGGGAUAACUUCGGGAAACCGUAGCUAAUACCGGAUAAUAUUUUGAACCGCAUGGUUCAAAAGUGAAAGACGGUCUUGCUGUCACUUAUAGAUGGAUCCGCGCUGCAUUAGCUAGUUGGUAAGGUAACGGCUUACCAAGGCAACGAUGCAUAGCCGACCUGAGAGGGGAAGCGGCCCAAACGGAAAUGGAGACCGGUCCCGGACCCUAAGGGGGGCAGCAAUAGGGAAAUUUCCGGAAUGGGCGAAAGCCUGACGGGGCAACGCCGGGGGAGUGAUGAAGGGCUUCGGAUCGUAAAACUCUUUUAUUAGGGAAGAACAAAUGGGUAAGGAAAUUGGCAAAUCUUGAAGGUACCUUAUCAGAAAGCCCCGGCUAACUACC
RNAcentral lists this ribosomal RNA (495 nucleotides) under uncultured bacterium. Its description in RNAcentral is "partial 16S ribosomal RNA". It matches the Rfam family "Bacterial small subunit ribosomal RNA", at positions 28 to 505 of the family's 1533-position model. The record is from RNAcentral.